UCUGUGACUAGUCAGCAAGGUCUGACUAGAUGCCCUGAGGACCACUCAGAGUGAAACAGCUAGCAUCAUGCAGUGGAAAUGAACCAAGCUUUGGUAGCAUACACCCUAUUCUACCUCUGAUUGGCUGUGUGACUCGGCCCACACCUGUGAUCAUCACAUCAAAUGCAGAUAUGAAUUUCAGAACAAACUAAAGUCAAGGCCCUAAGUUUCUGCUGCACUGACAAAUACUACGAACGAACUGGGUAAUUUCUAAAGAAGAAAUAUGAGCUCUCAUAGUUCUGGGGGCUGGGACAUCCCAGGCCAAGACGUCAGCGUCAUCUGUUGAGGGACUUUCUGCAGUGUCACGACCAGACAGAAGGCAGCACACAGCAAAGGAACACACAUAAGGAAGCCAGAGAGGAACAGGAAGCUGAACUUGAUGCUGUAACAACUCAUUGUCAAGGUAACACCCAAGUGGACAGUAUCAUAGGACAGUUCUCUGGAUGACCAUGGGUGGAUCCACUUCCUGCAAAUAAAAGUUUGCAGAGGGGUGGAAAGCUAUCUAUUGUUAAACAUUCUCCAAGGCUGAAUCGCUGAUUAGAAUUUCUAUGAUGGGCCUGAGAGCUGGCUCAGUGUUCCUCAAGAAUAACUGUAGGACGUGCUGAGAAUGAAACAUUCUGAGAUAAACAGAGCCUGCUAGGUCACCACAGGCUCUGCGUCUGCCAGUCCUAAAGCAUAAUGUGCUGGAACGCUUAAGUCUGGCAUGGCACCUCCUGUGGCCUCCUCCCAGGUUUCUUCUAUGAUGGCAGAAAAGGACUAAACCGAAUUUGUCAUGAGGACCUACAAGAGGCCCCUCAGGGAGUUCCCCAAUUGCAAAGGAAUAAUCCAACCAAGAAAAUUUUAACUAAAAUGUGGCUGAAAUUAUAUGACACUUUUUCCUUGAAACCAUUGCUCAAAGCACAAGAUGAACAUUUUACUUGAAUGUAGCAUCUGAUAAAAGUAUAGUAUUUGGAAAGAUAGAGAAUACACGUGGGCAUUCGGAGAAGCAAAAAGUAUGUGAAGCAUGCAAAAAUAACGAGGGGAAGAUAUUUGUUGAUCUGAACUUCAAUAGCCUACUGGUCCCCUGGGAAGAUACGUUUACAGACUCCUCAAUCAUUUAUGCUACUAGCCUUUUCUUUUCUGGCAGGUAUAUUGUUGCUGGUUUUGUUUUUGUUUUUGUUUUUGUUUUCUUUA
Molecule: non-coding RNA, 1212 nt
Organism: Peromyscus maniculatus bairdii (prairie deer mouse)
Lineage: Eukaryota; Metazoa; Chordata; Mammalia; Rodentia; Cricetidae
Source: RefSeq, a predicted model, not a curated record